RNAcentral lists this ribosomal RNA (253 nucleotides) under uncultured prokaryote. RNAcentral's name for it is "partial 16S ribosomal RNA". It matches the Rfam family "Bacterial small subunit ribosomal RNA", at positions 525 to 777 of the family's 1533-position model. The record is from RNAcentral.
ACGGGGGGUGCGAGCGUUGUCCGGAAUCACUGGGCGUAAAGGGCGCGUAGGCGGGAUGGUAAGUCGGUCGUGAAAUCCCUCGGCUCAACCGAGGAACGUCGAUCGAUACUACCGUUCUUGAGGAUUGCAGAGGAGACUGGAAUUCCCGGUGUAGCGGUGAAAUGUGUAGAGAUCGGGAGGAACACCGGUGGCGAAGGCGGGUCUCUGGGCAAUUCCUGACGCUGAGGCGCGAAAGCGUGGGGAGCAAACGGGA